RNAcentral lists this ribosomal RNA (465 nucleotides) under Vreelandella stevensii. Its description in RNAcentral is "partial 16S ribosomal RNA". It matches the Rfam family "Bacterial small subunit ribosomal RNA", at positions 338 to 795 of the family's 1533-position model. The record is from RNAcentral. Lineage: Bacteria; Pseudomonadati; Pseudomonadota; Gammaproteobacteria; Oceanospirillales; Halomonadaceae.
CCUACGGGGGGCAGCAGUGGGGAAUAUUGGACAAUGGGGGCAACCCUGAUCCAGCCAUGCCGCGUGUGUGAAGAAGGCCCUCGGGUUGUAAAGCACUUUCAGUGAGGAAGAACGCCUGGUGGUUAAUACCCAUCAGGAAAGACAUCACUCACAGAAGAAGCACCGGCUAACUCCGUGCCAGCAGCCGCGGUAAUACGGAGGGUGCGAGCGUUAAUCGGAAUUACUGGGCGUAAAGCGCGCGUAGGUGGCUUGAUAAGCCGGUUGUGAAAGCCCCGGGCUCAACCUGGGAACGGCAUCCGGAACUGUCAAGCUAGAGUGCAGGAGAGGAAGGUAGAAUUCCCGGUGUAGCGGUGAAAUGCGUAGAGAUCGGGAGGAAUACCAGUGGCGAAGGCGGCCUUCUGGACUGACACUGACACUGAGGUGCGAAAGCGUGGGUAGCAAACAGGAUUAGAUACACUGGUAGUC